UCGGGGUGCGCAGGCGCGAAAACUUUACAAUGCUGGAAACAGCGAUAAGGGGACCUCGAGUGCCAGGUUACAAAUCUGGCUGUCGUGAUGCCUAAAAAGCAUUGCAUAGCAAGGGCCGGGCAAGACCGGUGCCAGCCGCCGCGGUAACACCGGCGGCUCGAGUGGUAACCGUUAUUAUUGGGUCUAAAGGGUCUGUAGCCGGCCGGAUAAGUCUCUUGGGAAAUCCAGCAGCUCAACUGUUGGGCUUUCAGGAGAUACUGUCUGGCUCGAGGCCGGGAGAGGUGAGAGGUACUUCAGGGGUAGGGGUGAAAUCUUGUAAUCCUUGAAGGACCACCAGUGGCGAAGGCGUCUCACCAGAACGGACCUGACGGCAAGGGACGAAAGCUAGGGGCACGAACCGGAUUAGAUACCCGGGUAGUCCUAGCCGUAAACGAUACUCGCUAGGUGUCGGCCACGGUGCGACCGUUGUCGGUGCCGUAGGGAAGCCGUGAAGCGAGCCACCUGGGAAGUACGGCCGCAAGGCUGAAACUUAAAGGAAUUGGCGGGGGAGCAC
RNAcentral lists this ribosomal RNA (553 nucleotides) under uncultured archaeon. RNAcentral describes it as "bacterial SSU rRNA". It matches the Rfam family "Archaeal small subunit ribosomal RNA", at positions 325 to 879 of the family's 1478-position model. The record is from RNAcentral.